UCUACGGGAGGCAGCAGUAGGGAAUUUUGCGCAAUGGGGGAAACCCUGACGCAGCAACACCGCGUGAAUGUUAAGCCCUUCGGUGUGUAAAGGUCUGUCAAUAGGGACGAAUUUUGACUGUACCUAUAAAGGAAGCACCGGCUAACUCCGUGCCAGCAGCCGCGGUAAUACGGGGGGUGCAAGCGUUUUCCGGAAUCAUUGGGCGUAAAGCGUUCGUCGGAGGUAGGGCAAGUCUGGAGUUAAAGCCCGGGGCUCAACUCCGGUUCGGCAUUGGAUACUGGCAAACUAGAGUGUGGUAGAGGUAAAGGGAAUGCCUGGUGUAGCGGUGAAAUGCGUAGAUAUCAGGAGGAACAUCGGUGGCGAAAGCGCUUUACUGGACCAUUAUUGACGCUGAGGAACGAAAGCCAGGGGAGCAAAUGGGAUUAGAUACCCCUGUAGUC
RNAcentral lists this ribosomal RNA (440 nucleotides) under uncultured bacterium. RNAcentral describes it as "partial 16S ribosomal RNA". It matches the Rfam family "Bacterial small subunit ribosomal RNA", at positions 338 to 795 of the family's 1533-position model. The record is from RNAcentral.